GGAAGAAUGACAUUAUAUGUUGUAGGGAUAGUGCUAGGUGGAGGUUGAUAGGCAGUUGUAAAUUAAGUGGCAACAUAUUACAAAUGAGUUCCAGAAUGAGUAGGCAAUCGGAAGAUGUGCUACUGCAUGCUGGAGAUUAAAAUCCAAACAGAGAAACUAUCACCUAGCCCAGCAAUUGCAGUAAAAGGUUAAAAGAAAUAUUCAAUAUUAUCAAUCAUAUUAAAAAAAGGAGAGAACUUCUUACAGCUGCCAAAGUAGCUUGGGGGAAUUAAUGUGUUUGUGUCAAAAAGACUGAGAACAAGUGAAAUAGGACUACACUGAUUGCCAGAAUCUUACUUGCCUGGGGAGAUAACAUUGGACAUCCAGUUUAACUAGGCAGGUGCCAAGAAUCCUCUUAUGAAUGCUAUGGAGCUGUUUUCAAACACGACAAUGUCCAAUGACUUCCAUUCUCCAGUCCUCUCUGUGGUUUCUGAGUUGCUCAUUAAAGCAGAGAAGCCUCCAGUGAGGUGUGAUGACCUGAAAAUAGACGGGAGCUAAGGAAUCAAUGUUUUAAGUAAAACAGCAAUUAUAAAAAGAUCUACAGCUCUUUCCAUGUAAUCAGGUAAAUUACCAGGAGUAGCAUAAAGCACCUAAAUUGGAGAAAGAGUGGAGAAAGGGGGAGUGGGGGGAAAAGAAGGUCCCUUGGGUGAUAUCUGAUAGGAUGCUUAGUCUGUGUAGGGGUCAAGAGGUUAAGUGAAAAUGAGAUGAAGGAAUGAUCAGAUAUAGUCAGAUCAGAGACAGUUAAAUAAAGGAACGUGCUAACCUAAGAUAAAUGUGAGGAAGUACGCCUGUGUGAGGGUGUUGGUGUAGCUGUUCUUCAGCAGUCCAGGAAUCAGACAGAAAGGAUUCCUGGCUCCCAAUCCACACCAUUCCUAGCAGAAGCUCUUCCUAGCAAAGAAGUAGAAGGGAUAAGGACACGGUUUAAGACUCCUCUUUGCUGCUCCAGAGGAUACUAAAGUGCUUCUAAUCGCAUCUACAGAUUUUUCAGGUCUUUCUGCUGCUGAUGGAAUGUAAAUCAUCCUUAGUGGAGAGAAAGAAAAUGAGGCCUGUGCAUCUGUGGUUUGAACAAUGAGAAAGAUGCUGUUUAAACAAGAUGAAAACAGAAACAUUGAAAAACCAUGUCUGCCACUGUCCCUUUCGGGAUUCUACUGCGACCAAAAACUGAGAAUUUGAGGACCAGUGGAAAAAUAUACCAAACACGUGAGAAAGAACUGUAUGUAUGUCCCUCUCUAACCCCGCACAUACGAAUCCUCAGAAACAAACCCAAAUUCUUCUGCAGUGGUGAAAGAGGUGGAGGAGAAAGAGAAAUUAAAGAAAAUAAGACAUACGAUGGACCAGCAAACAAUUUGUAAAUGGAAGCAGCAGGCUUUUGCUUUUCCCCACAGACAAGCAGUCCAGAACAGACCCUGAAAGGUAACAGUCUCACAAUAGUAAUGCCUACAAGAGAAACUACCAUAAACAUAGGGUCUAAUUAAAAGCAUUACAAUUUUUAAAUGCAAAUGUAGAAUAGAACUGUCAAAAUGUUUUAUCCCUAAAGUGCGAAUGCUAACCUUCCCAUACUUAUUAUAUAGCACUACAUUUUAAUUUGCCUGGAGCACAGCUGAAUAAAGCAAGCAUCACAAACACAAUCAAAUGGAUAUCUGAAAGUACUGCUCUUCACAAUAGCUGUGUGUCUGAGCCCGGCUUCAAAUGUUGAUCAAUUGAUUACCAAAAUCAAAGAAUACAUUUCCCAAAUGAGCUUCUGCAAAAGCACUCAAUGGCACCAGAAAAAAAAAAGAGCAUAAAGCUGCACAGAACAGCAGUGUUCUCUAAAAUAUUUACAAAUGCAACUUUUUACUGCUUUCCUGUUUAUAGCUUAGAUCUGCACAGAUCUAAAGUGAGGAAUAAAGCACUUCUGAUAAAUCAAUGGCUUGAUUCAGUUUAAGUGUGGCAAAUUCAGGUAAACAGAAAAAAGUGAAAAUGACCUACAGGUAUACAUUAAGUCUUACGGCAAAUCACAGUCUCUUUCUUCAAAUGACUUUUGAACCUUUAAUAAAACUACAGUAAAAUAUAUAAUACAUUCUCUAAUGGCAAACCACGUGUGAAUACUAUUCCAUAAGAGAUAGUUCCCUAUUUGUUUUCCUUAGAAAUAAGACAGAACUAUUUGUGCUUAUCCGUCCUUUUGGAAUUUUCUCUCCUCCCAGCGUGACCAGUAAGAAGGCUUCUAGAUAGUCCUAGUAAGGAUGAAUAAAGGUGAGGCACUUGGCUUGAUUCUGAGCUUGUCUCAGACGGUUACUAUUUGCUCAGCAGAGGCCUCUGUUGAGCUAACUACAGUUCACGAGAGCACUCAUGGGUAUUCUCUAGCUCCUCCCAACACUUGGCACAGCAGUCUUCUGGACUGACUGAACACCAGCUGUAACUAUCAGUGUCCCAUCCGUCUUCCACCUCUAGUGAGCUGGUUCCUGCUGCUGUCCUAUGUAUUUUUACUGCUUUAUUUUUGAUAAA
Gallus gallus (chicken) is the source of this 2523-nucleotide long non-coding RNA. Lineage: Eukaryota; Metazoa; Chordata; Aves; Galliformes; Phasianidae. The record is from Ensembl.